UCCCUGGUGGCUCAGUGGUAAAGAAUCUGCCUUUAAGCUGGAGACCCAGGUUCAAUUCCUGGGUUGGGAA
RNAcentral lists this transfer RNA (70 nucleotides) under Bos taurus (domestic cattle). It matches the Rfam family "tRNA". Rfam says of the family: Transfer RNA (tRNA) molecules are approximately 80 nucleotides in length. Their secondary structure includes four short double-helical elements and three loops (D, anti-codon, and T loops). RNAcentral also lists the same sequence under 5 other names. Lineage: Eukaryota; Metazoa; Chordata; Mammalia; Artiodactyla; Bovidae. The record is from Rfam by way of RNAcentral.